AAAAUGCUGCCACCGGGUAGUUGUAAUGCAUAAAGCAUUCGUUUACAUAUCGUUAGGUCUUUGAAGAUAUGUAUGGCGGAUGCUUCUUU
Molecule: non-coding RNA, 89 nt
Filed under: unclassified sequences
Source: RNAcentral